AGAAGGAACGAGCCCAUUGGUCAAUGUCCAGUGCGACCUUUCACCUAGAACCAGACUGGGAAGUGUGGCUUGUCCUAGGGAAGUGUGAGGUUAGCUUGGCGUCGCUGGGGCAGGUAAAGGAAUGCCCUCUGAAAACGCCGCAGGUAGCAAAGCCCAGUGAACCGUCCUUAAUUUCACUUCUUUAAUAGCGAAAAUAAGAUGGAAUUCAGCCUUUUCCGCCUUAGCCUGGCCCUUGAAGAAUUUGCUGGAGAUGUCUCUAUUCUGCAGGAGAUUAAACCAAGAUGAGAGACGAAAAGUAACUCAUCAAAAGUCCAACACUUACUCAGAGGUUAAGCCCGGGAGAUUCUAAUUGCCCAUCAAAGACUGUGUCUGCUAAGGACUAGAAUGACACAGAGAGGACUGGGCAAAGGACUGUCGGAGCCAGACUGGGGCACUGCCCGGGAACAUUCCCUCUUCUCUCCUGGCCCUGCACCUACCCUGAAGCUGCAAUCAGAACAGGAAUUAAGCUCCUAAAAUGCCAUGGAAAACUGGUUUCUAGAGAGGACCUGGGAAAAUGGGGCCCAUUUUCCACAAUUUUGGGGGAAUCCUGAUUAUUUUUUCGCUUUUUUUUACUCUUUCCACUUUGCCCUGAUAACCACCCAGUUAUGUGAAGCUUCAGCACAGCGCAUGGGGGGAGAGGCAUCUCAGAUUCUGAGAGAAACCGGAACUUCUAGCCUGAAGACCAGGGAAGGUGGCAGAUUCUUAGGAGAAGAGGCACCUAUGGUGAGCUGGGCCUGCAGGGAGCACGCCCCGGAUACCAGCGUGGGCCCUGUGCCACCGGGGCCGAGUCACCCCCACAGAUGCUGAGACAGAACUGCACUCUGAACUUACUAGUAAUGUUCUCACAGACUUACACACUGGUCUGUCAACCUCAAUCUUUCAGUGCUGGUAAGACUGACUAUGAAACCCCAUCCAGUAAAGGCAGCACAUCCAUCACUAGCUUUAUCCGAAGUUUGGAAGGAGAAAACAAAUUUGAACAAGCAGAGGUCAAGUGGAAGAAGGCCAGCGAUCCGGAGUGUUUGCAGACCUGCCAUGCUCUGGCUUUUAGUUCUAAGAACAAGUUUACUUCUGCAAAUAAAUCUAUUAUUCUUUUGCAUUUUCCGUUUUUCCUAUGUUUUCUAUGUUAGAGACUAAAUUUUUUGUCUCAAAGGUAAACAUAAACAAGUGAAGAUCAGCUUUCAGCCCUGGGUGUGGCUGGAGGAAGGAGGUGCUAAUUCAGCAUGAGUUCCAGCAAGAGCAUAGGCCCAGCCAGACC
Molecule: long non-coding RNA, 1294 nt
Organism: Myotis davidii
Lineage: Eukaryota; Metazoa; Chordata; Mammalia; Chiroptera; Vespertilionidae
Exons: 3
Source: RefSeq, a predicted model, not a curated record